RNAcentral lists this non-coding RNA (788 nucleotides) under Bombyx mandarina (wild silkworm). The record is from RNAcentral. Lineage: Eukaryota; Metazoa; Arthropoda; Insecta; Lepidoptera; Bombycidae.
AAUAAAAUUAUUUAUGGUUUAAAAAUUUAUUAUAAAUUUAUUUUACAUAUAAAUUUUAGUGUUAAUUUUUAAUUUAUUUAAAUAAAUAAUUAAUAAUUUAUUUGUAGUGAAUUUAAAAUUAAAAAUUUAAGUAAUUAAGAUUUAGUAAUAUUUAAAUUAAUAACAAAUUUUGUGCCAGCAGUUGCGGUUAUACAAAAAUUAAAUUAAAUUUUUUUAGGAAUUAAUCAAUAAUAGAUUAUAUAAUAAAAUUAAAAUUUAAAUUAUUAAGUGAAAUUUUAAUUUAUGAAAAUUUUAUAUUGAAUUAUGAAUUAAAAAAUUUUAUUAAAAACUAGGAUUAGAUACCCUAUUAUUAAAAAUUUAAAUUAAUAAUACUAAAAUAGUAUAUAAUUAUUUAUAAAAACUUAAAUAAUUUGGCGGUAUUUUAGUUUAUUUAGAGGAAUCUGUUUAUUAAUUGAUAUUCCACGAAUAAAUUUACUUAAUUUAUUUAAUUUUGUAUAUCGUUGUUAAAAAAAUAUUUUAAAAUAAUAAUAAUAUUUUAAUUUUUAUAUUAAAAGUUAAAUCAGAUCAAGAUGCAGAUUAUAAUUAAGAAUAUAAUGGAUUACAAUAAAUUUAUUUAAUUGGAUGUUAUUUUUAAAAAAUUAAUUGAAAUUGGAUUUAAAUGUAAUUUUAUUUAAUUUAUUAAAAUGAUUUUAAUUUAAAAUAUGUACAUAUUGCCCGUCGCUUUCAUUAAUAAAUUGAAAUAAGUCGUAACAAAGUAGAGGUACUGGAAAGUGUUUCUAGAAAGAGUA